RNAcentral lists this unclassified non-coding RNA (351 nucleotides) under soil metagenome. Its description in RNAcentral is "partial contains 5.8S ribosomal RNA, internal transcribed spacer 2, and large subunit ribosomal RNA". The stretch from base 1 to 119 matches the Rfam family "5.8S ribosomal RNA", at positions 35 to 154 of the family's 154-position model. The record is from RNAcentral.
GAUGAAGACGUAGCGAAAUGCGAUAAGUAAUGUGAAUUGCAGAAUUCAGUGAAUCAUCGAAUCUUUGAACGCACAUUGCGCCCGCCAGUAUUCUGGCGGGCAUGCCUGUUCGAGCGUCAUUACAACCCUCAGGCCCCCGGGCCUGGCGUUGGGGAUCGGCGGAGCCCCCCGUGGGCACACGCCGUCCCCCAAAUACAGUGGCGGUCCCGCCGCAGCUUCCAUCGCGUAGUAGCUAACACCUCGCGACUGGAGAGCGGCGCGGCCACGCCGUAAAACACCCAACUCUUCUGAAGUUGACCUCGAAUCAGGUAGGAAUACCCGCUGAACUUAAGCAUAUCAAUAAACGGAGGA